GAAGCGUGCCCGACGCAGAAGCAGAGGCAGCGCUCCUCCCGUUCUCCGUUGCCUCGUCUUCUUUCUCCCCCCUCCGACCCUUUCGCGCUCUCUUGCGAAACGGAAAACGCAAGAAUAUAAAGAAAAUAACUCCAUCGGCAACUCGCAUUCUUUCAAGCGCAACACAUAGCUCCCGCCCGUGACGUGCUUGGCGCCGCAGUUCAAGUCCCCAUCCUCUUCCUAUGCGAUGCACAAUUCAGGCCCCCUCUCUUCAUUCCUUUCACCCAUACUUAGGAAGAUGUUGUCUUCCCAUUUGCAUUGAAACAGCAGAUUAUGAAGUUGUGGUGAUAGCAGGGUUGUCCGUUAAGAGACUUUAAACAAUAUUGCUUACGCCAAAGGCUCCAAGAUCUCUGGACCAGAAGAUUGGAAUCAAUAUUGCUUACCUACUACAGCAUGUCUAUAUUUUGGUUCUGUUCCCAAAUCCUGUGCCAUCGAAAGUCUUUCGUUUUGGUGGAUCUGGUUGUGCUCCGUUAUGUGGGAAGUCAUUGCUGAUUCUGAAGCUGUGACAUCGGAGGACAUUCUCAACAGGCAAUUCACGGAGGAUCUGAAUCAGGUGCUAGACAUUGAAUCCUAGAGAGAAGCUGAUUGUGAGAUUUGAGGUUUGGCCUGGAAAAUGGAAGAAUGAUGACACUACAAGAAACAGGGGAGUUGAUGGCUGUGCGCAGGGAGAGGAUUCAACAGAUUGAAUCCUGUAAUUUUAGAUAAAUUUGAAAGCAAGAAGAGAAUGAAGAGUCUGCGACGGUAUCUUUACUCGUAAGAGUACCGAUUUCAAGCGUGAAAAUGUUGACUUAGCAUUUGGCAGAUAAAAUCGAAGACAUUUGCUCGGUGGUAAACAAUUGUUGU
Musa acuminata AAA Group (dessert banana) is the source of this 882-nucleotide long non-coding RNA. RefSeq lists it as uncharacterized. The record is from RefSeq and is a predicted model, not a curated record. The transcript is spliced from 3 exons. Lineage: Eukaryota; Viridiplantae; Streptophyta; Magnoliopsida; Zingiberales; Musaceae.